RNAcentral lists this ribosomal RNA (98 nucleotides) under Tomentellopsis echinospora. RNAcentral's name for it is "partial 5.8S ribosomal RNA". It matches the Rfam family "5.8S ribosomal RNA", at positions 58 to 154 of the family's 154-position model. From Rfam's summary of the family: 5.8S ribosomal RNA (5.8S rRNA) is a component of the large subunit of the eukaryotic ribosome. It is transcribed by RNA polymerase I as part of the 45S precursor that also contains 18S and 28S rRNA. The record is from RNAcentral. RNAcentral also lists the same sequence under 2 other names. Lineage: Eukaryota; Fungi; Basidiomycota; Agaricomycetes; Thelephorales; Thelephoraceae.
AUAAGUAAUGUGAAUUGCAGAAUUCAGUGAAUCAUCGAAUCUUUGAACGCACCUUGCGCUCCUUGGUAUUCCGAGGAGCAUGCCUGUUUGAGUGUCAU